CUGAAAUCAGGCGGGACUACCCGCUGAACUUAAGCAUAUCAAUAAGCGGAGGAAAAGAAAAUAACAAUGAUUCCCCUAGUAACGGCGAGUGAAGAGGGAAAAGCUCAAGUUUGGAAGCUUCGUGGCAUAGCUACGACGCGUUGUAAACUGAAGUUUUUUGGGUGAUUGGGCGACCGGAUAAAUAAGUCCUUUGGAAAGGGGCAACAUAGAGGGUGA
Molecule: ribosomal RNA, 216 nt
Filed under: Gongronella butleri
Lineage: Eukaryota; Fungi; Mucoromycota; Mucoromycetes; Mucorales; Cunninghamellaceae
Description: partial 28S ribosomal RNA
Rfam family: Eukaryotic large subunit ribosomal RNA
Source: RNAcentral